AUACCUUAUAAUCUCCAUCUUCCAUAUGGUUGAUGGAGCAAAGGCUUGCUGCCUGAAGAUCGGGGUACUUCCUAUCAGCUUGUUGGUAAGGUAAUGGCUUACCAAGGCUAAGACGGGUAGCGGGUGUGAGAGCAUGACCCGCCGCAUCGGGACUGAGACACUGCCCGGACUCCUACGGGAGGCUGCAGUAACGAAUAUUCCGCAAUGCGCGAAAGCGUGACGGAGCAAUGCCGCGUGUGGGAUGAAGCAUCUAGGUGUGUAAACCACUGUCAGGGUUUAGGAAACAAAUGACCAGACCCAAAGGAAGAGCCGGCUAACUCUGUGCCAGCAGCCGCGGUAAUA
RNAcentral lists this ribosomal RNA (342 nucleotides) under Licmophora paradoxa. RNAcentral's name for it is "partial Bacterial small subunit ribosomal RNA". It matches the Rfam family "Bacterial small subunit ribosomal RNA", at positions 166 to 525 of the family's 1533-position model. The record is from RNAcentral. Lineage: Eukaryota; Bacillariophyta; Fragilariophyceae; Licmophorales; Licmophoraceae.